RNAcentral lists this ribosomal RNA (468 nucleotides) under uncultured bacterium. RNAcentral's name for it is "partial 16S ribosomal RNA". It matches the Rfam family "Bacterial small subunit ribosomal RNA", at positions 28 to 507 of the family's 1533-position model. The record is from RNAcentral.
GACGAACGCUGGCGGCGUGCUUAACACAUGCAAGUCGAACGGAAAGGCCCUGCUUUUGUGGGGUGCUCGAGUGGCGAACGGGUGAGUAACACGUGAGUAACCUGCCCUUGACUUUGGGAUAACUUCAGGAAACUGGGGCUAAUACCGGAUAGGAGCUCCUGCUGCAUGGUGGGGGUUGGAAAGUUUCGGCGGUUGGGGAUGGACUCGCGGCUUAUCAGCUUGUUGGUGGGGUAGUGGCUUACCAAGGCUUUGACGGGUAGCCGGCCUGAGAGGGUGACCGGGCACAUUGGGACUGAGAUACGGCACAGACGCCUACGGGAGGCAGCAGUGGGGAAUAUUGCACAAUGGGCGGAAGCCUGAUGCAGCAACGCCGCGUGCGGGAUGACGGCCUUCGGGUUGUAAACCGCUUUCGCCUGUGACGAAGCGUGAGUGACGGUAAUGGGUAAAGAAGCACCGGCUAACUACGUG